AAAUAAGUGUUUAGCUAGUCCUCGCAGGCAAUGAAUACAAGUAAACUUUCUUUCGUAAAGCGCCUUUCUACAAAGAAACUUGACUGAAUUCUUCUCGUUUAUACGUUCACACACGAACUAGUAUACUUUGGAAACAGGUGCUGGGGGUGCUCUUUACUCUGGUCCGAUACGUCCAAGCCGUCCGGUUUCUCCAACGGGCGCUGAGGAGGCAAGACCACACAAGAGCACAACUGGACAAAAGCAAAAAAAACACACAAAGCCUCCAGAUCUUUUCUUCUCAUUAAAUUCAGAACAUCUGGCGAGAGGCCCAGCUGUGCUCAUGAGCUGGAAAAGUACUAAGCUGGUCGGCGAAGAAAGGACACGGACUUUACAGAGGAUGACUCAUUGUAAACAAGAUGGAACGCAUGUUCCCUUUGGCCAGCCUGCGGAACAUCAGCAACGUCACCGUGCGCUGCCAGCCGGUAAACAAGCGCUGGUGAGCGUCGCGUCGGCACAAUGCAGCAAAGCGACAAACCCAGCUGCAACGCUGGAAAUGCGAUGUGAAUGUUAAUAUGACGCCCGCGGAGCUCCACUUCCCUUCGCUUCCUCUCGUCUCAAAGACUUUUGGAUCAUGUGAGCCUCACUCUUUGUCGUUUGUCCUCCGGUUGCCUCUUGUUGCUUCUUAACUUCUGACCCACAAAGAACAAAGAAUUUGAUCCAGACUUCACUAAUGUGUCCUCUUACCCCGUAUGACUGCCGAAUGCUGCAGGUGCUUUGUUCCCGACCUUGAUACUUUACUAAGGUCACACACCUGACUAAUC
Doryrhamphus excisus (bluestripe pipefish) is the source of this 800-nucleotide non-coding RNA. The record is from RefSeq and is a predicted model, not a curated record. Lineage: Eukaryota; Metazoa; Chordata; Actinopteri; Syngnathiformes; Syngnathidae.